GCGGGAAUCUAUCGAUUAAAUAAACAUCUCGACGAAUCGGCGAUUAUCGCUGAUCAUAAGAGUGAUGCGGGAAUGCUUUACAAUUCAGCGGCACAUACUAUGGAUCAACAAGUACUAUUUGGUGACAAUUUUUUGAUUGUUAGUGAUUAUAAGAACUACUACGGAAGUAUACAAAGGUGCAACGACGGAGGUGAAUGGUGUGUUUGGGGAUUUUUUCAGAGUACCAAUCCAACUCUGAAAAAUGUAGCUG
Styela clava is the source of this 250-nucleotide non-coding RNA. NCBI's taxonomy places the organism in Eukaryota, Metazoa, Chordata, Ascidiacea, Stolidobranchia, Styelidae. The record is from RefSeq and is a predicted model, not a curated record.